CUUCCUGAUGCUUACCACAGACUGUGUUCUUACACUAACUGUACAGAGGGAAGAGG
Molecule: small nucleolar RNA, 56 nt
Filed under: Castor canadensis (American beaver)
Lineage: Eukaryota; Metazoa; Chordata; Mammalia; Rodentia; Castoridae
Description: Small nucleolar RNA SNORA51 (ENSCCNG00000030271.1)
Source: RNAcentral